AAGUCGUAACAAGGUUUCCGUAGGUGAACCUGCGGAAGGAUCAUUACAAUCCAAAAUACACAACCCCAUGUGAACCUGUGUUUGUAUGUCUUUGGGGGGCUCAAGGUUUUUCCCCUUUUGCCCCCAUGUUUAUUGAACCACUCUGGUCUUUUCGUUGGAAUAACUUUUAUUAGCAAUAAUAAAGGACAACUUUUAACGGUGGAUCUCUUGGCUCGU
This 216-nucleotide unclassified non-coding RNA is filed under the name fungal sp. RNAcentral describes it as "partial internal transcribed spacer region". The stretch from base 1 to 46 matches the Rfam family "Eukaryotic small subunit ribosomal RNA", at positions 1786 to 1831 of the family's 1831-position model. Lineage: Eukaryota; Fungi. The record is from RNAcentral.